AUCGCCCUACGGGGGGCAGCAGUGGGGAAUAUUGCACAAUGGGGGAAACCCUGAUGCAGCGACGCCGCGUGAAGGAUGAAGUAUUUCGGUAUAUAAACUUCUAUCAGCAGGGAAGAAAAUGACGGUACCUGACUAAGAAGCCCCGGCUAACUACGUGCCAGCAGCCGCGGUAAUACGUAGGUGGCAAGCGUUAUCCGGAUUUACUGGGUGUAAAGGGAGCGUAGACGGAGGAGCAAGUCUGAUGUGAAAAUCCGGGGCCCAACCCCGGAACUGCAUUGGAAACUGUUUAUCUAGAGUGACGGAGA
RNAcentral lists this ribosomal RNA (305 nucleotides) under uncultured bacterium. RNAcentral describes it as "bacterial SSU rRNA". It matches the Rfam family "Bacterial small subunit ribosomal RNA", at positions 333 to 655 of the family's 1533-position model. The record is from RNAcentral.